Molecule: ribosomal RNA, 583 nt
Filed under: uncultured bacterium
Lineage: Bacteria
Description: partial 16S ribosomal RNA
Rfam family: Bacterial small subunit ribosomal RNA
Source: RNAcentral
UGGGGAAUUUUGGACAAUGGGGGCAACCCUGAUCCAGCCAUGCCGCGUGUGCGAAGAAGGCCUUCGGGUUGUAAAGCACUUUUGGCAGGAAAGAAACGGCGCCGGCUAAUAUCUGGCGUAACUGACGGUACCUGCAGAAUAAGCACCGGCUAACUACGUGCCAGCAGCCGCGGUAAUACGUAGGGUACAAGCGUUAAUCGGAAUUACUGGGCGUAAAGCGUGCGCAGGCGGUUCGGAAAGAAAGAUGUGAAAUCCCAGGGCUCAACCUUGGAACUGCAUUUUUAACUCCCGAACUAGAGUGUGUCAGAGGGGGGUGGAAUUCCACGUGUAGCAGUGAAAUGCGUGAGUAUGAGUUGGAUGGAACGAACCAGCGAUGGCGAAGGCAGCCUCCUGGGAUAACACUGACGCUCAUGCACGAAAGCGUGGGGAGCAAACAGAUUAGAUACCCUGGUAGUCCACGCCCUAAACGAUGUCAACUAGCUGUUGGGGUCUUCGGACCUUGGUAGCGCAGCUAACGCGUGAAGUUGACCGCCUGGGGAGUACGGUCGCAAGAUUAAAAGCUCAAAGGAAUUGACGGGGUCAU